RNAcentral lists this ribosomal RNA (436 nucleotides) under uncultured Clostridiaceae bacterium. RNAcentral describes it as "partial 16S ribosomal RNA". It matches the Rfam family "Bacterial small subunit ribosomal RNA", at positions 341 to 792 of the family's 1533-position model. The record is from RNAcentral. Lineage: Bacteria; Bacillati; Bacillota; Clostridia; Eubacteriales; Clostridiaceae.
ACGGGAGGCAGCAGUGGGGAAUAUUGGGCAAUGGCGAAAGCCUGACCCAGCAACGCCGCGUGAGGGAAGAAGGCCUUCGGGUUGUAAACCUCUGUCCUUGGUGACGAAGGAAGUGACGGUAGCCAAGGAGGAAGCCCCGGCUAACUACGUGCCAGCAGCCGCGGUAAUACGUAGGGGGCGAGCGUUGUCCGGAAUUACUGGGCGUAAAGGGUGCGUAGGCGGCACUUUAAGUUGGAUGUGAAAUACCCGGGCUUAACUUGGGGGGUGCAUCCAAUACCGGAGAGCUAGAGUGCAGGAGAGGAAAGCGGAAUUCCUAGUGUAGCGGUGAAAUGCGUAGAUAUUAGGAGGAACACCAGUGGCGAAGGCGGCUUUCUGGACUGUAACUGACGCUGAGGCACGAAAGCGUGGGGAGCAAACAGGAUUAGAUACCCUGGUA